This 314-nucleotide long non-coding RNA is filed under the name Mytilus galloprovincialis (Mediterranean mussel). The record is from RNAcentral. Lineage: Eukaryota; Metazoa; Mollusca; Bivalvia; Mytilida; Mytilidae.
UGAGCUUAUAGAACUAAGCUAUAUAAUUUUAAUUUGCAUGGCAAAAUUAGUUUUGCAGUAAAACAUGUAUUUUCCAUACAGCAAUCUCUUUUUGUCUAGACGGUUGAAAGUAAUUAAGAUGAAAUGGGAGUAAUAACGUUUCUAGUUUGUCUCAAUAAUGAAAUUGUAUGUCCCAAUUUUUGUCUUGUAUGUCUAAAUAAUGAAAUUGUAUGUCAUUACACACAACCUAAUACAGCUUUAACAUUGCAAGUGAGUAUAUAAGAAAACAUAUGUCUUUUUUUUGAUAACCAUCAACUUAUUUUGUUCUUCUCUCG